RNAcentral lists this ribosomal RNA (324 nucleotides) under Amazunculus sp. Jeff Skevington 13319. RNAcentral describes it as "partial 12S ribosomal RNA". The record is from RNAcentral. Lineage: Eukaryota; Metazoa; Arthropoda; Insecta; Diptera; Pipunculidae.
UAUUAAAGUAGUAUUAGUUAAGUUCUUGAAAUUUAAAAAAUUUGGCGGUAUUUUAUUCUAUUCAGAGGAACUUGUUUUUUAAUCGAUAAUCCACGAUGUAUCUUACUUAAUUUUAUAAUUUUAAUAGUUUAUAUAUCGUCGUUUAUAAAAUAUUUUUUAAAAAUAAUAAUUUUUAAUAUUUUAAAUUUUAAAUUAAAUCAGAUCAAGAUGUAGCAUAUAUUUAAGUUUACAAUGAGUUACAUUUAAUUUAUUAAUGGAUAUAAAUUUUAAAUUAUUUAUUGAAAUUGGAUUUGAAAGUAAAUAUAUAUAGAUAGAUAUAUUGAU